This 195-nucleotide ribosomal RNA is filed under the name uncultured bacterium. RNAcentral describes it as "partial 16S ribosomal RNA". It matches the Rfam family "Bacterial small subunit ribosomal RNA", at positions 338 to 524 of the family's 1533-position model. The record is from RNAcentral.
CCUACGGGAGGCAGCAGUAGGGAAUCAUCCGCAAUGGACGAAAGUCUGACGGUGCAACGCCGCGUGAGUGAUGAAGGUUUUCGGAUCGUAAAGCUCUGUUGUGAGGGAAGAACAAGGGCGGUUCUAACAGGGCCGCCCCCUGACGGUACCUCACCAGAAAGCCCCGGCUAACUACGUGCCAGCAGCCGCGGUAAU